GCCCGUACCUCCACCUGCCUACCGAACACCAAGAAGCGAAAGCAACAACCGAAAGGCGACAUCGUGGUCGAGACGAACAUCAAAAGCGACGCCUUCAAGAAGGGAGUGACGUCGAGGACGCCAUCGUCGCAUGUCCGAGAUGGACCAGGCUUUUGCCCAUGGAAGACAGUGCUGGAGAAUGUGACGCCCUCAAUAGGGGAAGCGACGCCCACAGGCAUCACCGUCGCCGAGGCUUUCGCCCAAGAAGCCCCCAACACAAUGUCAGGCCAAGACCCUGGUCAAAGCAAGCAACCUCCAUCGUCGCCGUUGUCUUGACACCUCACACAAACCCUUCUAGAGGGGCGACGACGCGUCGGCUACCACAACAGCCGCAAAGAUGCGUCAGUUGCCAUCCCCUCUGGCUGGGCACACGAAAACCGAG
This 421-nucleotide unclassified non-coding RNA is filed under the name Zea mays. RNAcentral describes it as "misc RNA Zm00001eb235900". The record is from RNAcentral. Lineage: Eukaryota; Viridiplantae; Streptophyta; Magnoliopsida; Poales; Poaceae.